Molecule: ribosomal RNA, 339 nt
Filed under: bacterium S8A-215-16S
Lineage: Bacteria
Description: bacterial SSU rRNA
Rfam family: Bacterial small subunit ribosomal RNA
Source: RNAcentral
UACUACGGAAUAACGCAGGGAAACUUGUGCUAAUACCGUAUGUGCCCUUCGGGGGAAAGAUUUAUCGGUAAGGGAUCGGCCCGCGUUGGAUUAGCUAGUUGGUGGGGUAAAGGCCUACCAAGGCGACGAUCCAUAGCUGGUCUGAGAGGAUGAUCAGCCACAUUGGGACUGAGACACGGCCCAAACUCCUACGGGAGGCAGCAGUGGGGAAUAUUGGACAAUGGGCGCAAGCCUGAUCCAGCCAUGCCGCGUGAGUGAUGAAGGCCCUAGGGUUGUAAAGCUCUUUCACCGGAGAAGAUAAUGACGGUAUCCGGAGAAGAAGCCCCGGCUAACUUCGUG